GACGAACGCUGGCGGCGUGCUUAACACAUGCUAGUCGAACGGAAAGGCCCUGCUUUUGUGGGGUGCUCGAGUGGCGAACGGGUGAGUAACACGUGAGUAACCUGCCCUGGACUAUGGGAUAACUUCAGGAAACUGGGGCUAAUCACGGAUAGGAGCACCUGAUGCAUGGAGGGGGUUGGAAAGUUUCGGCGGUAGGGGGGGGACUCGCGGCGUAUCAGCUUGUUGGUGGGGUAGUGGCUAACCAAGGAUUUGACGGGUAGCCGGCCUGAGAGGGUGGCCGGCCACACUGGGACUGGGAUACGGCCCAGCCUCCUACGGGCCGCAGCACCGGGGAAUAUUGCCCUAUGCGCGGAAGCCUGAUGCAGCCACGCCGCCUGCGGGAUGACUGCCUUCGCUUUGUAAUCCGCUUUCGCCUGUUACUAAGCCUGUGUGCCGGUAAUCGGUAAAGAAGCACCGGCUAACUACGUG
Molecule: ribosomal RNA, 468 nt
Filed under: uncultured bacterium
Lineage: Bacteria
Description: partial 16S ribosomal RNA
Rfam family: Bacterial small subunit ribosomal RNA
Source: RNAcentral